GACGUCUAUGCCUUCCCGGCAGCCCUCGCGGCGCAGGCUGAUAUGGAUCUGCUCUGCAGGCGUUAUUGUGGUUCCUGUUGCGGGAACAGCGGUUGUCUGGGUCUGGGGAAUCUCUGGCCUGCCAGCCUGCUAGUGCGCCACGGGAGGCCUCGCCCUCCGCGUCCCAAGCUGUAAUGCCGGCCGCCGCGUGGAGCCCGCUCACCCUCCUUGUGGGCGGAGCGCGCACUUAGGAGCGGGCUUCCAGAGCGCCCCGAACGUGUCGCCCGGAGCCUGGGCGCGCAGAGGUCUGUGGUCGGGCCGCUGGUGGCGAGUAGCCCGCAGAGAGUGUGGAACUAGGAACCGUGGCCGGCCGCGGGUAGCCGGCGCUCCGCUGUGCACACUGCCUUCCACGCAGAUGAGCGUCGUAAAAACACCAAGUAGCCAGGCAAACGUCCGCCUCCUGGACCCUGGCGCCUCCUGUUCACGGGUCAGCCUGGGACGAAGCCAACACAUCUGCCAUCUGUGAGCCUUUCCCCCCAGGCAACUUGGAUUUCUUCUGCAAACGCGUGUGAGUGUCAGCAUGGGGGGCAGCAGAGCUGACGUCAGCAUGGGGGGCAGCAGAGCUGACGUGCAGGAUAUAGCCCCCAGUGGGUUCCCAUCACCCCCCACACUGGCUGCUCUGACAGCUGGCCCUUGGACAACAUGGGCUUGAACUACAAGGCUCUGCUCACACUUGGGAUUUUCUUCAAUGAACCUGACUGCAGGAAUGGAGACCUACAAGCCACAGAUGCAGAAUAGUGGGCAGGGAGGGCUGAUCAUGAAGGCGGCGCCCAGGGUAAGUUGUGUGGCACUCAGUCCUGGAACUCCAGGACAGUGCGGGCAGGUCAUGGUGCACACAGCAACAGGACAGACUCGGCUCCCACGACAGGGUCCUGGCAGGUUCUGCACUGCCCACGGCUCCCAGCAGGCAGGUGUUGCUGGUCUGAGGACCCCAUACCACAGUCCCCACAACGUUGCCUUGAAGAAACAGCUGACCAUCCACCAGGAGCUGCCCCUUCACUAGGUCCAGAGAUGUUGCGCCUCUGGGGUCACUCCAGACCUGACACCCAGCAUCACUGUGAGGACAUCACACACAGCGCACCUGGGGAUGUUCCCCACACAUGAGACCAGCCCUCAUGCUCUGCUGUCUGCAAUAGGAGGGGGACUAUCCCAGCCCAGAGGGCCUGGCAGACGUGAGCACCGAGAGCAAGUGACCUGGGUGAAGUGUGGGUGUGGUGGUCACUGGGCUGCGGAAAACAAGCCUGACUGACCGGGGGGGGGACCGGUCACAGGCUGAGGGUUCUGUGCCUCGUUUGCAGCUCCCUGUGCGUCUAAAACUCUUCUGAGCUUUAA
Dama dama (fallow deer) is the source of this 1371-nucleotide long non-coding RNA. RefSeq lists it as uncharacterized. The record is from RefSeq and is a predicted model, not a curated record. Lineage: Eukaryota; Metazoa; Chordata; Mammalia; Artiodactyla; Cervidae. The transcript is spliced from 2 exons.